AUUGAACGCUGGCGGCAGGCCUAACACAUGCAAGUCGAACGAGUGGCGGACGGGUGAGUAAUGUCUGGGAAACUGCCUGAUGGCGGGGGAUAACUACUGGAAACGGUAGCUAAUACCGCAUACUAUCGGAUGUGCCCAGAUGGGUUUAGCUAGUAGGUGGGGUAAAGGCUCACCUAGGCGACGCUCCCUAGCUGGUCUGAGAGGAAGACCAGCCACACUGGAACUGAAACAGGGUCCAGACUCCUACGGUAGGCAGCAGUGGGGAAUUUUGCACAAUGGGCGCAAGCCUGAUGCAGCCAUGCCGCGUGUAUGAAGAAGGCCUUCGUGUUGUAAAGUACUUUCAGCAGAGAGGCGUUACCUGCAGAGGAAGCACCGGCUAACUCCGGGCCAGCAGCCGCGGUAAUAC
This 406-nucleotide ribosomal RNA is filed under the name uncultured bacterium. RNAcentral's name for it is "partial 16S ribosomal RNA". It matches the Rfam family "Bacterial small subunit ribosomal RNA", at positions 30 to 526 of the family's 1533-position model. The record is from RNAcentral.